RNAcentral lists this ribosomal RNA (253 nucleotides) under uncultured bacterium. RNAcentral describes it as "partial 16S ribosomal RNA". It matches the Rfam family "Bacterial small subunit ribosomal RNA", at positions 524 to 776 of the family's 1533-position model. The record is from RNAcentral.
UACAGGGGUGGCAAGCGUUGUUCGGAACUACUGGGCGUAAAGGGCGCGUAGGCGGCCCUCUAAGUCCCGUGUGAAAGCCCCCGGCUCAACCGGGGAACUGCACGGGAAACUGGAAGGCUUGAGUUCGGGAGAGGGAAGCGGAAUUCCGGGUGUAGCGGUGAAAUGCGUAGAUAUCCGGAGGAACACCGGUGGCGAAGGCGGCUUCCUGGACCGACACUGACGCUGAGGCGCGAAAGCUAGGGGAGCAAACGGG